RNAcentral lists this long non-coding RNA (508 nucleotides) under Pan troglodytes (chimpanzee). RNAcentral describes it as "long non-coding RNA NONPTRT013603". Lineage: Eukaryota; Metazoa; Chordata; Mammalia; Primates; Hominidae. The record is from RNAcentral.
AAUUUAUGUAAACCUGGAAAUUCUGGGAUCCAGUCUCUAAUAGGAGUACUUUGCAUACCAAAUAUGGAAAUAAGGCGAGGUCUACUUGAAGUGCUUUAUGAUAUAUUUCGUCUUCCUCUACCUGUUGUGACUGAGGAGUUCAUAGAAGCGCUACUCAGUGUAGAUCCAGGGAGGUUCCAAGACAGUUGGAGGCUUUCAGAUGGCUUUGUGGCAGCUGAGGCAAAAACUAUUCUUCCUCAUCGUGCCAGAUCCAGGCCAGACCUCAUGGAUAAUUAUUUGGCACUCAUACUCUCUGCAUUUAUUCGUAAUGGACUUUUAGAGGGUCUAGUUGAAGUGAUAACAAACAGUGAUGAUCAUAUCUCAGUUAGAGCUACCAUCCUUUUAGGAGAGCUUUUACAUAUGGCAAACACAAUUCUUCCUCAUUCACAUAGCCAUCAUUUGCACUGCUUGCCAACCCUAAUGAAUAUGGCUGCAUCCUUUGAUAUCCCUAAGGAAAAGAGACUGUAAG